UGACAGCUUUGGGGACAAAACUCUAG
RNAcentral lists this non-coding RNA (26 nucleotides) under Mus musculus (house mouse). The record is from RNAcentral. Lineage: Eukaryota; Metazoa; Chordata; Mammalia; Rodentia; Muridae.